AUAAGGGUUACUACACUAGAAUUCAAUGUGAGGUCCAUAAGGGUUACUUCACUAGAAUUCAAUGUGCCAGAUAGUGAGGUCCAUAAGGGUUACUACACUAGAAAUCUUUAACAUACUAUGAAUAGUCAGUGUUUCUACCACGGAACUGCGGCUCAAUUUAUAUCUCUCUCUCUCUCACACACACACACACACACACACACGUCACUCUGUUUUCAUGAAUACAUAAUCUGUCUCUAUAAGUGUUAAACAUCCAAAAUAUUUUCAGGAAAUGAAGCUCAGGCACCAAGGAGAAAAGAUACUAGCUAGCACACAGAUGGCAUGUGUGUGUAACAUACGUUGCAUAGUUUAUUUUCUAAAAAGUACAUUUACAAAAAUACACUGCAAUUUGACAUACCAGGUAUCAAGCAGAAAUGGACUUAAAAAAUACAAAUAAUUUAGGUGCCCAUCAAUAUUACACAUUUACAGUAUCACCAUCCCCCCCUCAUGAUGCCAUCUAUUUUGUGAAGUGCACCAGUUCCUCCUUCAGCAAAGCACCCCCACAACAUGAUGCUGCAAACCCCGUGCUUCACGGUUGGGAUGGUUUUCUUCAGCUUUGCAAGCCUCCCCCUUUUUCCUCCAAACAAAACGAUCGUCAUUAUGGCCAAACAAUUAUAUCUUUGUUUCAUCAAACCAGAGAUCUACAAUUUUUUUUCUGAGGUCUUUGCUGAUUUCUUUUGGUUUUCCCAUGAUGUCAAGAAAAGAGGCACUGAGUUUGAAGGUAGGCCUUGAAAUACAUCCACAGGUACACCUCUGAUAGGCUAAUUGACAUCAUUUGAGUCAAUCAGAAGCUUCUAAAGCCAUUACAUAAUUUUCAGGAAUUUAAGUAAGAAGUGGGUAUUGGUCUGAAGCCGAAAAAUAUAGUAAAUUCAGGAGCACCACAAUGCCUAUUCCACCCAUGCUCUACCAAGGUUUACCAGCACCACGAUGCCUACUCCACCCAUGCUCUACCAAGCUUUUACAGCCCCACAAUGCCUACUCCACCCAUGCUUUACCAAGGUUUUACAGCACCACAACGCCUACUCCACCCAUGCUCUACCAAGGUUUACCAGCACCACAAUGCCUAUUCCACCCAUGCUCUACCAAGGUUUUACAGCACAGAUUCAAACCUUGUGAAUGUCCUUUUUACAGCUUCAGACCUACUUCUCACUUAAAACUUUGUUUUUUGUUUUGAGAUUCCCUGGUUUUUACACUGGAAGGUGAUUUUCUUUAUAAAAAAAAGUGCAUUAUACAACAUUUCAUUACAUUAACCAAGUCUGCCAUUGGCAGGUCUACUGUAAACUUAAUUUGGCCUCUGUCAAAAGGUCUAGGCCUUAAUGACACAGGUGGUGUGCUCCUUUGCACCCCAUUAUUUCUCUCUCUACUUUGCACAUUCUUCCACUGCAAAUCAACCAUUCCAGUGUUUUACUUGCUAUAUUGUAUUUACUUUGCCACCAUGGCCUUUUUUUUGCCUUUACCUCCCUUAUCUCACCUCAUUUGCUCACAUCGUAUAUAGGCUUGUUUAUACUGUAUUAUUGUAUUUACUUUGCCACCAUGGCCAUUUUUUUGCCCUUACCUCCCUUCUCACCUCGAUGCUCACAUCGUAUAUAGACUUGUUUAUACUGUAUUAUUGACUAUGUCUGUUUUAUUCCAUGUGUAAAUCUGUGUCGUUGUAUGUGUCGAACUGCUUUGCUUUAUCUUGGCCAGG
Molecule: long non-coding RNA, 1723 nt
Organism: Oncorhynchus tshawytscha (Chinook salmon)
Lineage: Eukaryota; Metazoa; Chordata; Actinopteri; Salmoniformes; Salmonidae
Source: Ensembl